This 675-nucleotide ribosomal RNA is filed under the name Kribbella catacumbae. RNAcentral describes it as "bacterial SSU rRNA". It matches the Rfam family "Bacterial small subunit ribosomal RNA", at positions 62 to 752 of the family's 1533-position model. The record is from RNAcentral. Lineage: Bacteria; Bacillati; Actinomycetota; Actinomycetes; Propionibacteriales; Kribbellaceae.
UCGAGCGGUAAGGCCCCUUCGGGGGUACACGAGCGGCGAACGGGUGAGUAACACGUGAGCAACCUACCCUCAACUUCGGGAUAAGCCUCGGAAACGGGGUCUAAUACCGGAUAUCACUUCCUGCCUCAUGGUGGGGGGUUGAAAGUUCUGGCGGUUGGGGAUGGGCUCGCGGCCUAUCAGCUUGUUGGUGGGGUAAUGGCCUACCAAGGCGUCGACGGGUAGCCGGCCUGAGAGGGCGACCGGCCACACUGGGACUGAGACACGGCCCAGACUCCUACGGGAGGCAGCAGUGGGGAAUAUUGCGCAAUGGACGAAAGUCUGACGCAGCAACGCCGCGUGAGGGAUGACGGCCUUCGGGUUGUAAACCUCUUUCAGCAGGGACGAAGCGAGAGUGACGGUACCUGCAGAAGAAGGACCGGCCAACUACGUGCCAGCAGCCGCGGUAAUACGUAGGGUCCGAGCGUUGUCCGGAAUUAUUGGGCGUAAAGGGCUCGUAGGCGGUUCGUCACGUCGGGAGUGAAAACUCGGAGCUCAACUCCGAGCCUGCUUCCGAUACGGGCAGACUAGAGGUAGGCAGGGGAGAGCGGAACUCCUGGUGUAGCGGUGGAAUGCGCAGAUAUCAGGAAGAACACCGGUGGCGAAGGCGGCUCUCUGGGCCUUACCUGACGCUGAGGA